RNAcentral lists this long non-coding RNA (762 nucleotides) under Malus domestica (apple). RNAcentral describes it as "long non-coding RNA (MDOM_LNC000249)". The record is from RNAcentral. Lineage: Eukaryota; Viridiplantae; Streptophyta; Magnoliopsida; Rosales; Rosaceae.
AACACGAUCGAGCCAAAGCUCAGAUUUCUCAGGUCCCUCAUUGCCCAAUAAAUUAUUGAUCUGAAGAUGGGAUACUAUUUCCAAAGUAGUCAUUAGAGGAGGAUGAAGUGAGGACUAAUAUGUUGGAAGUAUGCCCACAAAUCCACUCGUUUGAUGUAAUAGCUUUUGGAAUACUUAUUUUGUUAAACUAUUAUAUAUUUAAUGAAGGGAAAAUCUUAUUGUUAAUCACUAUUUUAUGUAUUACGCGUUUAACCAAUAAGGGAAUCCAAGGAAUGUAUUUAAUCUAAGAGAGAAGUGAUCUAAGUAUGUUAGAUUAACGCGACCCUUCUCUUAUGUUCAUUCCUAAAAUGUUCCUAGCCAUAGGAUUGCCAAUUGGGCAUUGACAAUCCGUUAAGGUUAGUAUGUGUUAUGUUAACUCAAGCAUAAAAUAUGACUAGUCUCAAGUCAUUCAGUGUUGGACACUGGGACAAACACAUAGGUGCUCAAAAAGUAAUUGAGUACACUGAACAACGAUCAAAAUGGAGGUUAGAGCUCAACAACUUGCAGUAAUAGACUUAUCAAUUGCCCAAGUUUGGUCUUCGCAGCAAGCCACUUCAGAAGGUUGUCAAGCCACAGGGACUUCUUUGGGUUCUAUCCAGGUACGUUUAGAAGCGUUGGUGCGAGAACAAGAAUAGUUGGAAGUCAAAGCAUCACAACUUCACGGUGUUCUCUCGGAGCGGGAAGCUACACUUUCUCAACAUCAAAAGGAGAUUUUACACCUAG